GAUGAACGCUAGCGGCAGGCCUAAUACAUGCAAGUCGAGGGGUAGAGCAGGCUUGCUUGCUUGAGACCGGCGCACGGGUGCGUAACGCGUAUGCAACCUACCCUUUUCUGGGGGAUAGCCCGGAGAAAUCCGGAUUAAUACCGCAUAAGACCACACGGCGGCAUCGUCGAGGGGUCAAACAUUUAUGGGAGAAGGAUGGGCAUGCGUGCCAUUAGCUAGUUGGCGGGGUAACGGCCCACCAAGGCUACGAUGGCUAGGGGAUCUGAGAGGAUGGCCCCCCACACUGGUACUGAGACACGGACCAGACUCCUACGGGAGGCAGCAGUAAGGAAUAUUGGUCAAUGGGCGCAAGCCUGAACCAGCCAUGCCGCGUGCAGGAAGACGGCCCUCCGGGUUGUAAACUGCUUUUGUACGGGAAUAAACCUUUCUUCGUGAAGAAAGCUGAAUUACCGU
The sequence is a ribosomal RNA, 453 nucleotides long. It matches the Rfam family "Bacterial small subunit ribosomal RNA", at positions 28 to 481 of the family's 1533-position model.